UUUUUGUUCUGUAAAUCAUCAUAUUUUAACCUCUAAUAUGUCAUCUUUAGGUGGGAUCGCACAAACAACCCAGAGCCCUGGAACAAACUGGAGCCCAAYGAGCAGUACAAAUUUUUCAGAGUCAACAUGGAUUACUCCAAACUGAAGAAGGACCGGCCAGAUUUCUAAGUCCUUUCACAACUGGGAUGCCGAGUUUAUGCACUUUUUUGUUUYGCCAAAGUACAAGUUGAAUGUUGGUCAUUUAACAGUUGAUUAUCAUGAAAGGGAUCAUAAACCUAUACAAGUUUGAAUAAAAGCAGGCUACCACCUGUUUUUUAUUGAGAAAUUCUGUUUUUUUCUUUUAUGUGUUAUAAAUUAUUAAAACAAUUAAAAUGAUUAACCUCA
Molecule: non-coding RNA, 384 nt
Organism: Poecilia reticulata (guppy)
Lineage: Eukaryota; Metazoa; Chordata; Actinopteri; Cyprinodontiformes; Poeciliidae
Source: RefSeq, a predicted model, not a curated record